GGUCAAGCUACAAAGGGCGCAUGGUGAAUGCCUUGGCAUCAGGAGCCGAUGAAGGACGUGAUAAGCUGCGAUAAGCUUCGGGUAGGCGCACAUAGCCUGAGAUCCGAAGAUCUCCGAAUGAGGAAACUCACAUGGGAAACCCCAUGUAUCAUUAAGUGAAUACAUAGCUUAAUGAAGGUAACCCAGGGAACUGAAACAUCUAAGUACCUGGAGGAAGAGAAAGAAAAAUCGAUUUUCUUAGUAGCGGCGAGCGAAAGGGAAAGAGCCCAAACCGGAAACUUGUUUCCGGGGUUGUGGACAUAACAUAAAAGUGGAGGCUAUUGUAACUGAAGAGAACUGGAAAGUUCCACCGUAGAAGGUAAUAGUCCUGUAAGUGAAACGAGAAGACCACGAGUUAUGAUCCAGAGUACCACGAGACACGUGAAACCUUGUGGGAAGCAGGGAGGACCACCUCCCAAGGCUAAAUACUACCUGAUGACCGAUAGUGAAGCAGUACCGUGAGGGAAAGGUGAAAAGAACCCCGGGAGGGGAGUGAAAUAGAACCUGAAACCGUGUGCCUACAACCGCUCAGAGCCCCUUAUGAGGGUGAUGAGGUGCUUUUUGUAGAACGAGCCAACGAGUUACGGUAUGUAGCAAGGUUAAGUACUUAAGGUACGGAGCCGAAGGGAAACCGAGUCUGAAUAGGGCGACUAGUUGCAUGCCGUAGACCCGAAACCGGGUGACCUAUCCAUGGCCAGGUUGAAGCGAGGGUAAAACCUCGUGGAGGACCGAACCACGUUGCUGUUGAAAAAGCAUGGGAUGAGCUGUGGAUAGCGGAGAAAUUCCAAUCGAACCCGGAGAUAGCUGGUUCUCUCCGAAAUAGCUUUAGGGCUAGCGUCGAGUAUGAGUAGUGGAGGUAGAGCACUGAAUGGGCUAGGGGGCAUAGCGCUUACCGAACCUUAUCAAACUCCGAAUGCCACAUACUUUGAGCUCGGCAGUCAGACUACGAAUGAUAAGAUCCGUGGUCAAAAGGGAAACAGCCCAGAUCGUCAGCUAAGGUCCCAAAGUGUAAGUUAAGUGGGAAAGGAUGUGAGAUUUCUAAGACAACUAGGAUGUUGGCUUAGAAGCAGCCAUUCAUUAAAAGAGUGCGUAAUAGCUCACUAGUCGAGAGAUCUUGCGCCGAAAAUGUAACGGGGCUAAACUUACCACCGAAGCUACGGGCUUGAACUUAGUUCAAGCGGUAGGAGAGCGUCGUAACCGGGCUGAAGUCGUACCGUAAGGAGCGGUGGACUGGUUACGAGUGAGAAUGUUGGCAUCAGUAGCGAGAUGUGGGUGAGAAUCCCACAGGCCGAAAACCUAAGGUUUCCUCAGGAAGGUUCGUCCGCUGAGGGUUAGUCGGGACCUAAGCCGAGGCCGAAAGGCGUAGGUGAUGGACAACUGGUUGAUAUUCCAGUACCACUACCAUCGUUAUUAUCGAUGGCGUGACGCAGGAGGAUAGUGUGUGCUAGCUAUUGGAUGCUAGUCUAAGCGUUUAGGCAGUGAGAGUAGGCAAAUCCGCUCUCAUAAUGCUGAGGCGUGAUGGGGAAGGUUCUACGGAACCGAAGUACAUGAUUCCACGCUGCCAAGAAAAGCGUCUAGAGAGAGAAGUAGUGCCCGUACCGCAAACCGACACAGGUAGGUGAGGAGAGAAUCCUAAGGCCGGCGGAAGAAUUACAGUUAAGGAACUCGGCAAAUUGACCCCGUAAGUUCGCGAGAAGGGGUGCCUACGAGAGUAGGCCGCAGAGAAUAGGCCCAAGCAACUGUUUAGCAAAAACACAGGUCUCUGCUAAAGCGUAAGCUGAUGUAUAGGGGCUGACGCCUGCCCGGUGCUGGAAGGUUAAGGGGAACACUUAGCGCAAGCGAAGGUGUGAACUUAAGCCCCAGUAAACGGCGGCCGUAACUAUAACGGUCCUAAGGUAGCGAAAUUCCUUGUCAGGUAAGUUCUGACCCGCACGAAUGGCGUAAUGACUUGGGCACUGUCUCAACUGUAAAUCCGGCGAAGUUGUAGUGCGAGUGAAGAUGCUCGCUACCCGCGAUUGGACGGAAAGACCCCGUAGAGCUUUACUGUAGCUUAGCAUUGAGUUUUGGUAUUGUCUGUACAGGAUAGGUGGGAGACUAGGAAACUAGGGCGUCAGCCUUGGUGGAGUCAACCUUGGGAUACCACCCUGACAGUACUGAAAUUCUAACUGGCGGCCAUGAAUCUGGUCACAGGACAUUGUUAGGUGGGCAGUUUGACUGGGGCGGUCGCCUCCUAAAAAGUAACGGAGGCGCCCAAAGGUUCCCUCAGAACGGUCGGAAAUCGUUCGAAGAGUGCAAAGGCAGAAGGGAGCCUGACUGCGACACCCACAAGUGGAGCAGGGACGAAAGUCGGGCUUAGUGAUCCGGUGGUACCUCGUGGGAGGGCCAUCGCUCAACGGAUAAAAGCUACCUCGGGGAUAACAGGCUGAUCUCCCCCAAGAGUCCACAUCGACGGGGAGGUUUGGCACCUCGAUGUCGGCUCGUCGCAUCCUGGGGCUGAAGUAGGUCCCAAGGGUUGGGCUGUUCGCCCAUUAAAGCGGCACGCGAGCUGGGUUCAGAACGUCGUGAGACAGUUCGGUCCCUAUCCGUCGCGGGCGUAGGAAAUUUGAGAGGAGCUGUCCUUAGUACGAGAGGACCGGGAUGGACUGACCUCUGGUGUACCAGUUGUUCCGCCAGGAGCACAGCUGGGUAGCUAAGUCGGGAAUGGAUAAACGCUGAAAGCAUCUAAGCGUGAAGCCAACCUCAAGAUGAGAUUUCCCAUAGCAUAAGCUAGUAAGAUCCCUUGAAGAACACAAGGUUGAUAGGUCGGGGGUGUAAGCAUGGUAACAUGUUCAGCUGACCGAUACUAAUAGAUCGAGGGCUUGACCAA
RNAcentral lists this ribosomal RNA (2905 nucleotides) under Clostridium perfringens. RNAcentral describes it as "23S ribosomal RNA". It matches the Rfam family "Bacterial large subunit ribosomal RNA". The record is from RNAcentral. Lineage: Bacteria; Bacillati; Bacillota; Clostridia; Eubacteriales; Clostridiaceae.